This is a long non-coding RNA of Condylostylus longicornis, 828 nucleotides long. RefSeq lists it as uncharacterized. The record is from RefSeq and is a predicted model, not a curated record. Lineage: Eukaryota; Metazoa; Arthropoda; Insecta; Diptera; Dolichopodidae. The transcript has 3 exons.
ACAAAAAAAAAAGCCAUUUACAAAUUAAAUCUAUAAGAUACCUUUGUUUUUUUUAGUAAAAUAUUAAUUAAAGGAAACAAAAUGAAACAAAGGUAAAUAGCUUUUUGAAAAAUAGAAAAAAGAAAAAUUCAAAAGACAUGAAUUCAGCAAAAAAAGUUUAUCAAAUUAAAAUAAAAUAAAAGAGAAAUAAUUUCAAUAAAAAAAACAAGGAAGUCUCAAUGAGCUUGAAAUUCUAAAAUAAUAAAAGGAAAAAACUUGACAAGAAAAUUAUUGUGAAAUUAGAUUAUCAUUAAAUCAAAAUAUACCAUAUUGAAUGAAAAGUAUUCGCUUUUUAAUUUUAAAUUAAAGGGAGCUCGAACAUCACACGGAAUAAUAGCAAAGACACGAUAAUGAUGAAGAAAAUGCAAUUUUGUGUAUUUUAUAAUUUUUAAUACUUUUAAUUUUAAAUUUUUAAUUACAAAAGAAAUUCAUUACAUAAAAAGUUUUAAUAUUAAUCUUUUUCUUUCUAUAUUGUUUGAUAUAAUAUCAAUUAAAUUAUAGAAAUUAUUAAAAGAUUAAAUACCAUAAAAGUAAAAGACUGAGUUAAAAAAGUUUUAGAAAAAAAAAUUGGAUAAAAUUCCAUAAUUGGAAAAAUUUUCAUAAACCGUUCGCUGUUUUACUUUUAAUACUAAAAAACAGGAUUUAAAAAACUUAAAAAAUAGAAAUUUAAUAAGAAACAAUUUACGGAAAUUCAUAAAAUUCAUAGCUACAUAAUAUAAAAACUGUAAUUUGUUGGUUUUUCUCCUUUUUUUUGUGUUUUAAAUUUUAUAUAUUUAUAUUUCAUUUUCU